UGGAUGUUGCAGGAAAGGAAAGGAGAUUCGCGAGCGAGGACAAAGAGGCAAUAUCAGAGUGACUGACAAGCUGAGAUUCUUCCUAAAGGACCCAUUUUCAUUAUAGACAGUGUCUGUGGCUGGAGGCUCUACAUACAAGGUGUGCCUACACAGGCCAAAGAGUGCCAGUAUUAGCACAGAAUUCCCCAGCCCACCAAGGAUUUGAGACCCAUCAGGUAU
Podarcis muralis (Common wall lizard) is the source of this 219-nucleotide non-coding RNA. NCBI's taxonomy places the organism in Eukaryota, Metazoa, Chordata, Lepidosauria, Squamata, Lacertidae. The record is from RefSeq and is a predicted model, not a curated record.